AUUGAACGCUGGCGGCAUGCCUAACACAUGCAAGUCGAACGAGAAAGCUCUUCGGAGUGAGUACAGUGGCGGACGGGUGCGUAAUGCUUGGGAAUCUGCCCAACAGGUGGGGGAUAACUCGAGGAAACUCGGGCUAAUACCGCAUACUUCCUACGGGAGAAAGGGGGCCUCGGCUCUCGCUGUUAGAUGAGCCCAAGUCCGAUUAGCUUGUUGGUGGGGUAAAGGCCUACCAAGGCGACGAUCGGUAGCUGGUCUGAGAGGACGAUCAGCCACACUGGAACUGAGACACGGUCCAG
Molecule: ribosomal RNA, 296 nt
Filed under: uncultured bacterium
Lineage: Bacteria
Description: partial 16S ribosomal RNA
Rfam family: Bacterial small subunit ribosomal RNA
Source: RNAcentral